RNAcentral lists this ribosomal RNA (274 nucleotides) under uncultured bacterium. RNAcentral's name for it is "partial 16S ribosomal RNA". It matches the Rfam family "Bacterial small subunit ribosomal RNA", at positions 523 to 796 of the family's 1533-position model. The record is from RNAcentral.
AUACGGAGGGCGCAAGCGUUGCCCGGAAUCACUGGGUGUAAAGGUUGCGUAGGCGGGGCUGUAAGUCAUAGGUGAAAGCCCUCGGCUCAACCGGGGAAUUGCCUCUGAUACUGCAGCUCUUGAGUCCCGGAGAGGCCGCUGGAAUUCCUGGUGUAGCGGUGAAAUGCGUAGAUAUCAGGAGGAACACCGGAGGCGAAGGCGGGCGGCUGGACGGGGACUGACGCUGAGGCACGAAAGCGUGGGGAGCAAACAGGAUUAGAAACCCUAGUAGUCC